AUCACAACAACAUUUUACCAAAUAUAGAGUAUACCUAUUAGUGCAAAUUUCAAAAUAAUUGAUACAUUUGAUCAAGAAAUAAGUUUCAAUGUAUAUAAUCAUCAAUUCUCUCUUAGCCUUUGCAAUUGCAGCCAUGAUCAAAAUUGGGAAGAGAUCGGCCGGCCUUUGGAUGCAAAACAUGUUGUCUAUUAACAUAUGCUUGUAAGUAGUACCAAUUGGCUAAGCUUAAAAGAAAUCGGCUCUACUAGUGAUCAAUCCUGAUUGGCU
Molecule: long non-coding RNA, 267 nt
Filed under: Elaeis guineensis (African oil palm)
Lineage: Eukaryota; Viridiplantae; Streptophyta; Magnoliopsida; Arecales; Arecaceae
Description: long non-coding RNA (EGUI_LNC016984)
Source: RNAcentral